RNAcentral lists this long non-coding RNA (624 nucleotides) under Phascolarctos cinereus (koala). Its description in RNAcentral is "lncRNA (ENSPCIG00000012129.2)". The record is from RNAcentral. Lineage: Eukaryota; Metazoa; Chordata; Mammalia; Diprotodontia; Phascolarctidae.
GAAAGGAAGUCAUAUGUCAGAGGGCUCUGUGUACAUUUUCCUGAAGUACCAUGUCUGUGUAUAAAUGCAAUCUGUUAUUUUAUCCAAUUAUAACAUUUGCAUUUUAUACUUUUUUAUACUAUACCUUAAAAAUGAUCAAAUUUAAUAAAGAUAGUAAGAGACUUGGUUUUUUGCUUCCAACAGGUUGAAUUUCAUUCUUUCCAAAAGCUUAGAGAGCUACUAAUUACUGUCAAAAAAGAAAUAUUAUUUUCAAAGGCAACUGCCCAUUAGCCAGAGAAGAGGUGUUGAAUCAUCCCGAUGAAUCUGGCAAGGAAGCAUGGCAAAUCCCCAGCCCAGCUAUGCGUAGCUGGAGCAUUCAGUAGUGUUACAAGGACUCAGUCCUACCCUUCCAGUCAACCUAUGGGAACUUGGGGUCGAGCUUCUGACCACGUGUGAUGGAGGGCUAAAAGGCUUGCACUCAAAGAUGAUGAAGAAUCCCUUUAUUGGCUACUGAGCUGCAGGAGCUAAUGACUGUUCUUUUUAAGAGGUGACAGUUUCCAUAUGAGACCCAUUUGGCUGCAGUUCUCCCCCCAUGUCUCUCUGCUUUGAUGCUCUUCACCCUCUUCCCAUGAAGCAUGGACUCAG